GGAAUAUUGGGCAAUGGGCGCAAGCCUGACCCAGCAACGCCGCGUGAGGGAAGAAGGUCUUCGGAUUGUAAACCUCUGUCCUAUGUGACGAAGGAAGUGACGGUAGCAUAGGAGGAAGCCCCGGCUAACUACGUGCCAGCAGCCGCGGUAAUACGUAGGGGGCGAGCGUUGUCCGGAAUUACUGGGCGUAAAGGGUGCGUAGGUGGCACUUUAAGUUGGAUGUGAAAUCCCCGUGCUUAACAUGGGAGCUGCAUCCAAUACUGGAGAGCUAGAGUGCAGGAGAGGUAAGCGGAAUUCCUAGUGUAGCGGUGAAAUGCGUAGAUAUUAGGAGGAACACCAGUGGCGAAGGCGGCUUACUGGACUGUAACUGACACUGAGGCACGAAAGCGUGGGGAGCAAACA
RNAcentral lists this ribosomal RNA (402 nucleotides) under uncultured bacterium. RNAcentral's name for it is "bacterial SSU rRNA". It matches the Rfam family "Bacterial small subunit ribosomal RNA", at positions 358 to 774 of the family's 1533-position model. The record is from RNAcentral.